GAUGAACGCUGUCUACAGGCUUAACACAUGCAAGUCGAGGGGAAACGCCGGGGAAGCUUGCUUCCCCGGGCGUCGACCGGCGCACGGGUGAGUAACGCGUAUCCAACCUGCCUCUGACUGAGGGAUAACCCGUCGAAAGUCGGCCUAAUACCUCAUGGCAUCGUCUGCGGGCAUCCAACGACGAUUAAAGAUUUCAUCGGUCAGGGAUGGGGAUGCGUCUGAUUAGCUUGUUGGCGGGGUAACGGCCCACCAAGGCUACGAUCAGUAGGGGUUCUGAGAGGAAGGUCCCCCACAUUGGAACUGGGACACGGUCCAAACUCCUACGGGAGGCAGCAGUGAGGAAUAUUGGUCAAUGGGCGGGAGCCUGAACCAGCCAAGUAGCGUGCAGGAUGACGGCCCUAUGGGUUGUAAACUGCUUUUAUGCGGGGAUAAAGUGAGGGACGUGUCCUUCAUUGCAGGUACCGCAUGAAUAAGGACCGGCUAAUUCCGUG
RNAcentral lists this ribosomal RNA (491 nucleotides) under uncultured bacterium. RNAcentral describes it as "partial 16S ribosomal RNA". It matches the Rfam family "Bacterial small subunit ribosomal RNA", at positions 28 to 507 of the family's 1533-position model. The record is from RNAcentral.